UCUCUCUUUCUCUCCUUCCCUCUUCUCUCUCUUUCUCUCCUUCCCUCUUCUCUCAAACCCUAAAAAUAUCUGAACAAAACCCUUGAAAUUUCUAUAUCUCUUUCUCUGUGUUACUUCAUUACUUUUACAUUUGAUGAGAAGACGCUGUCACAUAAACAUGAAGGUGAUAACCGCAUACUUGCUCGUCGUUCUUGGAGGCAACAACACCCCUCCGCCAAAACCGUCAAGAACAUCCUUGGUUCUGUUGGAGCAAAAAACCUAGACCGUGUGAAAGCUCUUAGAGUAAAUGUUGGAACUAAACCUGAUGCAGAUCUUGGUCCAGUUAUCAGCAAACAUGUUAUAUGAUGAGAUCUGGAAAUUAAAAUCAGAUCUUGGAUAUGUGGUUUAAAUUGACAUAUUUUUUUCAGUAGUUUGAUGUUGAUAGCCCACACUAGCUUUCCCAAGAAUAAAUUAUGCGAAAAAAGGUAUACGUGAGCUUUGGGGAGUAACCCGAGGGUGCAAUUGAAGAGUUUAAAUCUGUCCUCAAGAAUGAUGGCGGUGAUUUGGACAAAAGAUGGUCAGAUAUCUUGGAGCAGCCACUUUCUAGAGGUUGUAUCAAGCACAUUCUAUGGAAGAGGCGGAGGCAUUAUGUGAUCGAUUAGGAAUAUUUAAUUUGCAAAUGGUAGCUUGCAGUGCAUUGGAAAUCUAAAAGAGAUACAUUCCACUGUUUUUUCAAAUGGUAGCUUGCGUUAUAGAUUCUACGAUGCCGACAUUGGAGUGACAUAUAAGUAUGAAUAUGUAUUAUUAACCUUUGCAACAAAUCAAUGCUAUUGCUUGCCGCUGUAUUGGAAUUUUUCCGGCUUACAACUUUCCUUCUACUGUUAGUUUCUCGGCUAACGAUAGUUCUAUGUAUUUACCUGUUUAAACAUAUUUAUUUAGCAUGCUCACUUGAAACUUCCCAUUUCCUGCAUUUAUAGUAGUGUGCUUCUUAGUAAUUAUUUGAAUUGUAUUUUUGUUAACACUUGAGUAACAAUAUUAUGGCUUAUUGGCUUUAUAAGUUUUUCCAAUUGUUCGCUGGCUUCUUUGGUUUCUGCAGUUAUGUGAGAUCACUUAUUUGUGUCUGUCCGCCAUCUGUAUUGAAGUUGAGUGCAGAUGCGUUGUAGUUUUCGUCGAGUUUUCAUCUCCUCGAUUUUGGUCGCGGGAAUUGAAUCCUUGAAUGUGUUGUCAAGAGGUUCUGUUAUCUGGUUUAUUGGAUGGUGCGGAGUCCCUAUUCUUUGCAAAUUCAGAUUAUCGGUUCAAAUCUGUCUCUUGGAUCCUGAGGUGUUCGCUUGGUCCUUAAAUUCACUGCUGUGUUGCUAUCCCAGUCCCUUCUUGGUGGCAGCACCAUUUGUUCAGUUUUAGGGUGAUUUAAUGUUGUUUUAAGCAUGUAAGAAGUUGGUUUUUUAUGUAUUAACAACAGUCUUCUGCUUAGUAUAGGAAUGAUAUUUGGAUUUGUAUUUGG
This is a long non-coding RNA of Vicia villosa (hairy vetch), 1480 nucleotides long. RefSeq lists it as uncharacterized. Lineage: Eukaryota; Viridiplantae; Streptophyta; Magnoliopsida; Fabales; Fabaceae. The transcript has 5 exons. The record is from RefSeq and is a predicted model, not a curated record.